Molecule: long non-coding RNA, 515 nt
Organism: Hydra vulgaris (swiftwater hydra)
Lineage: Eukaryota; Metazoa; Cnidaria; Hydrozoa; Anthoathecata; Hydridae
Source: RefSeq, a predicted model, not a curated record
AUUGAUUUUUUUUGCAUUUACUAAAUUAUGUAAAAGAUAUUAAAUCCUCACCAACUGAUGUAAGGGUUAGAUGUCAUGUUUACUCAAGUCAAGACUUUAAAUUUUAAAUGUUAACAUAUUAGUCAUUUUAUAUUGUUGUUGUUUACAAGUCUAUUUAUGUCAUGCCUAAUUAAUAACAUAAAAUAUUUACCGUAAAAUAACAUUGUUUUAGAUUCCCUUCAGGAUGCCUGUUUAAAAGAAAAACUGAAGAAACUUUAAAACUAGAUGAUAGCAACUGAAGAAGUUGAAACAUCGUUAUUCAAGGUGUCAUAUCGAGGCUUCAGUUCUCCAUGUAAGAAUGGAUGAAAGCACUAAAGAAGCGAAACGAUAAACUUUAAAGCAGAAUUUUGUCAUGCGAUUAUGGUGGCGAUAUGAGAGAACUACUGUGGCAUAAUAUUACUAUCGUAGAACAGUUUUGCAUCAAAUCAUUGUAUAAUAUUAGUUUUUUCUUGCUUAAAAAUAUUAUGAAAUUCAAA